RNAcentral lists this ribosomal RNA (473 nucleotides) under uncultured bacterium. Its description in RNAcentral is "partial 16S ribosomal RNA". It matches the Rfam family "Bacterial small subunit ribosomal RNA", at positions 28 to 507 of the family's 1533-position model. The record is from RNAcentral.
GGUGAACGCUGGCGGCGUGCCUAAGACAUGCAAGUCGAGCGGGCCGCGGGGUUUUACUCCGUGGUCAGCGGCGGACGGGUGAGUAACGCGUGGGUGACCUACCCGGAAGAGGGGGACAACCCGGGGAAACUCGGGCUAAUCCCCCAUGUGGACCCGCCCCUUGGGGUGUGUCCAAAGGGCUUUGCCCGCUUCCGGAUGGGCCCGCGUCCCAUCAGCUAGUUGGUGGGGUAAUGGCCCACCAAGGCGACGACGGGUAGCCGGCCUGAGAGGGUGGCCGGCCAAAGGGGCACUGAGACACGGGCCCCACUCCUACGGGAGGCAGCAGUUAGGAAUCUUCGGAAAUGGGCGCAAGCCUGACGGAGCGACGACGCUUGGAGGAAGAAGCCAUUCGGGGUGUAAACUCCUGAACCAGGGACGAAACCCCCGACGAGGGGACUGACGGUACCGGGGUAAUAGCGCCGGCCAACUCCGUG